CCGGAAAAAAAAAAAAAAAUCAGGUUUCAACCCCUUAGCACUUGGCUUCAGUGCCUGUCUAUUCACAGAUGGAGCCCAGGCCAAUGGUCCAGGAGAUAAUCCCACCCUCCACUGUCAUAGAGGAACCCACUCCCCCAUCAGCGUGUGGCUCUUCUAGGAACUUGCCCAACACCUCCUUUGCAGUAUAUUUCAAAAAGUUUUUUUUUUUAAGAUUUAUUUAUUAUAUAUAAGUUCACUGCAGCUGUCUUCAGACACACCAGAAGAGGGCAUCAUAUCCCAUUUCAGAUGGUUGUGAGCCACCAUGUGGUUGCUGGGAAUUGAACUCAGGACCUCUGGAAGAGCAGUCUUAACCGUUGCGUCAUCUCUCCAGCCCCGUUCUGUUUUUAAAUCAUUGGUAAAUCCUUUUUAUUGUUCGUAGAGCUGGGCUUCCAAGUGCUGUUUUGUAUGGCACACAAAGAGAAGGCACACCAAGACUCACUCUACCGCAUGACUAGGACUGCCUGAAGGCUUUGAAAAUGAGCCAAGAAGCGAUCUCACAAGAAGAUAAAAAUUAGCCUAGGAACAAAGUCUCAUAGCAGAGAGAUGGUUGAGUUUUGGAAGAGAAGCUGAAAGGCUUGUAAGAGGAAAUCAGGGGCCAUAAAGGAAUGAACCCUGAGAAUUUUGUUUUCCUGGGAGUCUAGUGCUGGAGAAGAGAAAGGCAAAGCCCCAGCUCCAGCCAGAAGAAGACUUUGCCUUGCAAGGAAAGAUUUCACUCGGUGCUGACAUUUGUCUCACAGUUCAAUGGCGCAUGCACAUUCUGCCUCUCGUGUCAUCUUUGCUGUUGCUGUUGUCUCGCUAUGCAGCCCAGGCUGUCCUCACACUCACUCUGUAGCCCAGGCUGGCUUUGAACUCACAGAGAUCUACCUGUCUCUGCCACCUGAAUGCUGAGAUUAAAAGUGUGUGCAACCGUG
Rattus norvegicus (Norway rat) is the source of this 950-nucleotide long non-coding RNA. RefSeq lists it as uncharacterized. The record is from RefSeq and is a predicted model, not a curated record. Lineage: Eukaryota; Metazoa; Chordata; Mammalia; Rodentia; Muridae.